UGCAGUCGAGCGAUGAUAGGGAGCUUGCUCCCUGGUUUUAGCGGCGGACGGGUGAGUAACACGUGGGCAACCUACCUGUAAGACUGGGAUAACUUCGGGAAACCGGAGCUAAUACCGGAUAAUUUCUUUUCUCGCAUGAGAAAAGAUGGAAAGACGGUUUCGGCUGUCACUUACAGAUGGGCCCGCGGCGCAUUAGCUAGUUGGUGAGGUAACGGCUCACCAAGGCCACGAUGCGUAGCCGACCUGAGAGGGUGAUCGGCCACACUGGGACUGAGACACGGCCCAGACUCCUACGGGAGGCAGCAGUAGGGAAUCUUCCGCAAUGGACGAAAGUCUGACGGAGCAACGCCGCGUGAACGAAGAAGGCCUUCGGGUCGUAAAGUUCUGUUGUUAGGGAAGAACAAGUACCAGAGUAACUGCUGGUACCUUGACGGUACCUAACCAGAAAGCCACGGCUAACUACGUGCCAGCAGCCGCGGUAAUACGUAGGUGGCAAGCGUUGUCCGGAAUUAUUGGGCGUAAAGCGCGCGCAGGUGGUUCCUUAAGUCUGAUGUGAAAGCCCACGGCUCAACCGUGGAGGGUCAUUGGAAACUGGGGAACUUGAGUGCAGAAGAGGAAAGUGGAAUUCCACGUGUAGCGGUGAAAUGCGUAGAGAUGUGGAGGAACACCAGUGGCGAAGGCGACUUUCUGGUCUGUAACUGACACUGAGGCGCGAAAGCGUGGGGA
RNAcentral lists this ribosomal RNA (726 nucleotides) under Peribacillus huizhouensis. RNAcentral describes it as "bacterial SSU rRNA". It matches the Rfam family "Bacterial small subunit ribosomal RNA", at positions 56 to 767 of the family's 1533-position model. The record is from RNAcentral. Lineage: Bacteria; Bacillati; Bacillota; Bacilli; Caryophanales; Bacillaceae.